This 259-nucleotide long non-coding RNA is filed under the name Homo sapiens (human). Its description in RNAcentral is "non-protein coding lnc-MTERF1-9:1". The record is from RNAcentral. Lineage: Eukaryota; Metazoa; Chordata; Mammalia; Primates; Hominidae.
ACUGAAAUUUUUAAAAAGUUUUAAAAAAUUAAAAUGAGACAAAGCAUAGGAUGAAACUGUGUUUAUAAACAAUUACAUCUCUGUAUAAUUUGUUCUUGAACUAUUAAUACAGUGAUUUGGCAAAUUCCUCUUUCUCUCCUAGCAGCCCUUCCCUGAAGAAAUUACCUGUCAGUUAUUAUUUCAGAGCAAGUUUAACAACCAGAAUAACAGAUGGACAGAUCUUGCCUAAUAUAAAAAAGAAAUAAAGUAUAUCUCCAAU